This 429-nucleotide ribosomal RNA is filed under the name Acidobacteriota bacterium. RNAcentral describes it as "Acidobacteria bacterium partial 16S ribosomal RNA". It matches the Rfam family "Bacterial small subunit ribosomal RNA", at positions 355 to 776 of the family's 1533-position model. Lineage: Bacteria; Pseudomonadati; Acidobacteriota. The record is from RNAcentral.
UGGGGAAUUUUGGACAAUGGGGGAAACCCUGAUCCAGCCAUCCCGCGUGUGCGAUGAAGGCCUUCGGGUUGUAAAGCACUUUUGGCAGGAAAGAAACGUCAUGGGUUAUUACCCCGUGAAACUGACGGUACCUGCAGAAUAAGCACCGGCUAACUACGUGCCAGCAGCCGCGGUAAUACGUAGGGUGCAAGCGUUAAUCGGAAUUACUGGGCGUAAAGCGUGCGCAGGCGGUUCGGAAAGAAAGAUGUGAAAUCCCAGAGCUCAACUUUGGAACUGCAUUUUUAACUACCGGGCUAGAGUGUGUCAGAGGGAGGUGGAAUUCCGCGUGUAGCAGUGAAAUGCGUAGAUAUGCGGAGGAACACCGAUGGCGAAGGCAGCCUCCUGGGAUAACACUGACGCUCAUGCACGAAAGCGUGGGGAGCAAACAGG